GCACUCGUAGUUCAACUGGAUAGAAUAUCGGAUUUCGGCUCCGAGGGUUAGGGGUUCGAAUCCUCUCGAGUGCACUA
This 77-nucleotide transfer RNA is filed under the name Bacteroidota bacterium. RNAcentral's name for it is "Bacteroidetes bacterium (marine metagenome) tRNA-Arg". It matches the Rfam family "tRNA". Rfam says of the family: Transfer RNA (tRNA) molecules are approximately 80 nucleotides in length. Their secondary structure includes four short double-helical elements and three loops (D, anti-codon, and T loops). Further hydrogen bonds mediate the characteristic L-shaped molecular structure. tRNAs have two regions of fundamental functional importance: the anti-codon, which is responsible for specific mRNA codon recognition, and the 3' end, to which the tRNAs corresponding amino acid is attached (by aminoacyl-tRNA synthetases). tRNAs cope with the degeneracy of the genetic code in two manners: having more than one tRNA (with a specific anti-codon) for a particular amino acid; and 'wobble' base-pairing, i.e. permitting non-standard base-pairing at the 3rd anti-codon position. The record is from RNAcentral. Lineage: Bacteria; Pseudomonadati; Bacteroidota.